GGGUUGUGAGGUUAAGCGACUAAGCGUACACGGUGGAUGCCCUGGCAGUCAGAGGCGAUGAAGGACGUGCUAAUCUGCGAUAAGCGCCGGUAAGGUGAUAUGAACCGUUAUAACCGGCGAUUUCCGAAUGGGGAAACCCAGUGUGAUUCGUCACACUAUCAUUAACUGAAUCCAUAGGUUAAUGAGGCGAACCGGGGGAACUGAAACAUCUAAGUACCCCGAGGAAAAGAAAUCAACCGAGAUUCCCCCAGUAGCGGCGAGCGAACGGGGAGGAGCCCAGAGCCUGAAUCAGCAUGUGUGUUAGUGGAAGCGUCUGGAAAGGCGCGCGAUACAGGGUGACAGCCCCGUACACAAAAGCGCAUGUGCUGUGAGCUCGAUGAGUAGGGCGGGACACGUGGUAUCCUGUCUGAAUAUGGGGGGACCAUCCUCCAAGGCUAAAUACUCCUGACUGACCGAUAGUGAACCAGUACCGUGAGGGAAAGGCGAAAAGAACCCCGGCGAGGGGAGUGAAAAAGAACCUGAAACCGUGUACGUACAAGCAGUGGGAGCACAGGUUUACCUGUGUGACUGCGUACCUUUUGUAUAAUGGGUCAGCGACUUAUAUUCUGUAGCAAGGUUAACCGUAUAGGGGAGCCGUAGGGAAACCGAGUCUUAAU
This 656-nucleotide ribosomal RNA is filed under the name Salmonella enterica subsp. enterica. Its description in RNAcentral is "partial 23S ribosomal RNA". It matches the Rfam family "Bacterial large subunit ribosomal RNA", at positions 1 to 688 of the family's 2925-position model. The record is from RNAcentral. Lineage: Bacteria; Pseudomonadati; Pseudomonadota; Gammaproteobacteria; Enterobacterales; Enterobacteriaceae.